AAAUAUCCCAUACGAGGAUCAACCAUAUGACACUCUUCACACACAUCCUGAAGUGUCGAAGGAACCAUACAAAUCCAAAUUUUAUGUCGGUUGUUCUGCAAAUGACAUGGCAGUCACAAUUUAAAAAAAAAAUCAAAAAAAUCAAAAGAAAUCAAAGAAAAAGCCCGCUAAGUCGAACACCUUAAAAGGAGACUUAGGCAAAAACUGGGGCAAUCCCGAUGGAUUAGAGCUUCAACAAGCGGUCCAUGCAAAAAUUAGGGAUCAAAACAAAAAUUGAAAGAGACAAUGAAAG
Molecule: long non-coding RNA, 292 nt
Filed under: Lathyrus oleraceus (garden pea)
Lineage: Eukaryota; Viridiplantae; Streptophyta; Magnoliopsida; Fabales; Fabaceae
Description: Pisum sativum (pea) long non-coding RNA (PSAT_LNC023525)
Source: RNAcentral